RNAcentral lists this ribosomal RNA (855 nucleotides) under uncultured bacterium. RNAcentral's name for it is "bacterial SSU rRNA". It matches the Rfam family "Bacterial small subunit ribosomal RNA", at positions 8 to 850 of the family's 1533-position model. The record is from RNAcentral.
AGGGUUUGAUCCUGGCUCAGAUUGAACGCUGGCGGCAGGCCUAACACAUGCAAGUCGAGCGGAAACACAAGGGAGCUUGCUCCUGAGGUGUCGAGCGGCGGACGGGUGAGUAAUGCUUGGGAAACUGCCCAGUCGUGGGGGACAACCAUUGGAAACGAUGGCUAAUACCGCAUACGCCCUACGGGGGAAAGAAGGGGACUCUUCGGAGCCUUUCGCGAUUGGAUGUGCCCAAGUGGGACUAGCUAGUUGGUGAGGUAAGAGCUCACCAAGGCGACGAUCCCUAGCUGGUUUGAGAGGAUGAUCAGCCACACUGGAACUGAGACACGGUCCAGACUCCUACGGGAGGCAGCAGUGGGGAAUAUUGCACAAUGGAGGAAACUCUGAUGCAGCCAUGCCGCGUGUAUGAAGAAGGCCUUCGGGUUGUAAAGUACUUUCAGCGAGGAGGAAAGGUUAGUAGUUAAUAACUGCUAGCUGUGACGUUACUCGCAGAAGAAGGACCGGCUAACUCCGUGCCAGCAGCCGCGGUAAUACGGAGGGUCCGAGCGUUAAUCGGAAUUACUGGGCGUAAAGCGUACGCAGGCGGUUUGUUAAGCGAGAUGUGAAAGCCCCGGGCUCAACCUGGGAACUGCAUUUCGAACUGACAAACUAGAGUUUUGUAGAGGGUGGUAGAAUUUCAGGUGUAGCGGUGAAAUGCGUAGAGAUCUGAAGGAAUACCAGUGGCGAAGGCGGCCACCUGGACAAUAACUGACGCUCAUGUACGAAAGCGUGGGGAGCAAACGGGAUUAGAUACCCCGGUAGUCCACGCCGUAAACGAUGUCAACUAGCCGACUGGUCCCUUGAGGACUGGGUGGCGCA